CGAACGCUGGCGGCGUGCUUAACACAUGCAAGUCGAACGAGAAAGAGUUCUUCGGAACUUGAGUAAAGUGGCGCACGGGUGAGUAACGCGUAGAUAACCUAUCCUUAUGUCUGGGAUAACCCACCGAAAGGUGGACUAAUACCGGAUAUGCUUAUCUUUCAUAAGUUGUAUAAGUAAAGGUGGCCUCUGAUUUAAGCUACUGCAUGAGGAGGGGUCUGCGUACCAUUAGCUUGUUGGUGGGGUAAUGGCCUACCAAGGCAACGAUGGUUAGCGGGUCUGAGAGGAUGAUCCGUCACACUGGCACUGGAACACGGGCCAGACUCCUACGGGAGGCAGCAGUGAGGAAUAUUGCGCAAUGGGGGAAACCCUGACGCAGCGACGCCGCGUGAGUGAGGAAGGCUUUCGGGUCGUAAAACUCUGUCAAAAGGGAAGAAAUGCAUAUAGGUUAAUACCCUUUAUGUUUGACGGUACCUUUAAAGGAAGCACCGGCUAACUCC
Molecule: ribosomal RNA, 497 nt
Filed under: uncultured bacterium
Lineage: Bacteria
Description: bacterial SSU rRNA
Rfam family: Bacterial small subunit ribosomal RNA
Source: RNAcentral